CCUACGGGUGGCAGCAGUGGGGAAUAUUGGGCAAUGGGCGCAAGCCUGACCCAGCAACGCCGCGUGAAGGAAGAAGGCCCUCGGGUUGUAAACUUCUUUUAUCAAGGACGAAACAAAUGACGGUACUUGAUGAAUAAGCCACGGCUAACUACGUGCAAGCAGCCGCGGUAAUACGUAGGUGGCAAGCGUUAUCCGGAUUUACUGGGUGUAAAGGGUGUGAGGCGGGACUGCAAGUCAGAUGUGAAAACCAUGGGCUCAACCAAGGGCCUGCAUUUGAAACUGUCGUUCUUGAGUGUUGGAGAGGCAGGCGGAAUUCCGGGUGUAGCGGUGAAAUGCGUAGAUAUUAGGAAGAACACCAGUGGCGAAGGCAGCUUACUGGACAGUAACUGACGUUGAGGCUCGAAAGCGUGGGGAGCAAACAGGAUUAGAUACCCGAGUAGUC
Molecule: ribosomal RNA, 442 nt
Filed under: uncultured bacterium
Lineage: Bacteria
Description: partial 16S ribosomal RNA
Rfam family: Bacterial small subunit ribosomal RNA
Source: RNAcentral